RNAcentral lists this unclassified non-coding RNA (355 nucleotides) under Salvia x sakuensis. Its description in RNAcentral is "partial miscellaneous RNA". Lineage: Eukaryota; Viridiplantae; Streptophyta; Magnoliopsida; Lamiales; Lamiaceae. The record is from RNAcentral.
GGGCAGCGACGACAUCUCCUCCANGUCUCUUCAAUUUUUGGCGCGAGCGCUUGCUCGGCCGACGUCGGUUUCCUGUGCUGAAUACCUAUUGCGAGGGCAUUGUGUCGGCUACGUUUGUUCUAUUCCCACCUUGUGCCGCUGCUCCACGUGGGCGUGCGGUGCGGGGCGGGCCAAAUCGCGCGCGUCGUGUGUCGCACCGNGUUCGCCCCUAGGGGCGUUCGGGUUGUCGACCCACGACGUGUUGCUCGGUGUCUCGGGUACGGUGCAUCAUGUGGGUACGAGGCCGUCGGCCUCCGAGCACCACAAACAAGCGUUCUACGCUUCGUGCGAACGACCGUCUGUUCGGUCUUUGGCC